Molecule: ribosomal RNA, 460 nt
Filed under: Salmonella enterica
Lineage: Bacteria; Pseudomonadati; Pseudomonadota; Gammaproteobacteria; Enterobacterales; Enterobacteriaceae
Description: partial 23S ribosomal RNA
Rfam family: Bacterial large subunit ribosomal RNA
Source: RNAcentral
CAUAGGUUAAUGAGGCGAACCGGGGGAACUGAAACAUCUAAGUACCCCGAGGAAAAGAAAUCAACCGAGAUUCCCCCAGUAGCGGCGAGCGAACGGGGAGGAGCCCAGAGCCUGAAUCAGCAUGUGUGUUAGUGGAAGCGUCUGGAAAGGCGCGCGAUACAGGGUGACAGCCCCGUACACAAAAGCGCAUGUGCUGUGAGCUCGAUGAGUAGGGCGGGACACGUGGUAUCCUGUCUGAAUAUGGGGGGACCAUCCUCCAAGGCUAAAUACUCCUGACUGACCGAUAGUGAACCAGUACCGUGAGGGAAAGGCGAAAAGAACCCCGGCGAGGGGAGUGAAAAAGAACCUGAAACCGUGUACGUACAAGCAGUGGGAGCACCCUUUUGGGUGUGACUGCGUACCUUUUGUAUAAUGGGUCAGCGACUUAUAUUCUGUAGCAAGGUUAACCGUAUAGGGGAGC